CAGCAGUGGGGAUAUUGCACAAUGGGGGAAACCCUGAUGCAGCCAUGCCGCGUGUGUGAAGAAGGCCUUCGGGUUGUAAAGCACUUUCAGUAGGGAGGAAAGGGUGUAGUUUAAUACGCUAUAUCUGUGACGUUACCUACAGAAGAAGGACCGGCUAACUCCGUGCCAGCAGCCGCGGUAAUACGGAGGGUCCGAGCGUUAAUCGGAAUUACUGGGCGUAAAGCGUGCGCAGGCGGUUUGUUAAGCGAGAUGUGAAAGCCCUGGGCUCAACCUAGGAAUAGCAUUUCGAACUGGCGAACUAGAGUCUUGUAGAGGGGGGUAGAAUUCCAGGUGUAGCGGUGAAAUGCGUAGAGAUCUGGAGGAAUACCGGUGGCGAAGGCGGCCCCCUGGACAAAGACUGACGCUCAUGCACGAAAGCGUGGGGAGCAAACAGGAUUAGAUACCCUGGUAGUCCACGCCGUAAACGAUGUCUACUCGGAGUUUGGUGUCUUGAACACUGGGCUCUCAAGCUAACGCAUUAAGUAGACCGCCUGGGGAGUACGGCCGCAAGGUUAAAACUCAAAUGAAUUGACGGGGCCCC
This 580-nucleotide ribosomal RNA is filed under the name Shewanella sp. RNAcentral describes it as "bacterial SSU rRNA". It matches the Rfam family "Bacterial small subunit ribosomal RNA", at positions 349 to 922 of the family's 1533-position model. Lineage: Bacteria; Pseudomonadati; Pseudomonadota; Gammaproteobacteria; Alteromonadales; Shewanellaceae. The record is from RNAcentral.